GCAACUGAUGGGCAGGAGCUACCAUGCGCCAUAAGGUUAACCUCCACCUGUAAAAUGGUCCAUUCUCAUUUAUGCAGCUUGGGUUAUGGGCUUGUCUUUUGACUGGAUAUUAAUGGUUACCACUCAGUGUUAAUAGUGUCAGUUAUGUGUGUAAUACUGUUUUAUGGUUUCCAAAUGAAUUUUAAAGUGUCCUACAUAUAGGGAAUUUGCAAUCUCCAUGAAGCAUAAUAUCCUUGUGAAACAUCCAGUGAACAUAGUAUGUAAUGGUGUGGAGCAGAUAAGUGUAAAAGGGAUGUGGGGAAGAGAUCUGUGAACUAAACCUCCUAAAGUCUGACACAUUGUAAAUGUUUAUUGCUUGAAAGAUGAGUGUCCCUUUGCUCUUACCUGCUUGACUUUAUCAUGUCUGGAUGACACCCAGAUUCUAACUGUGGAUCCCUGCCCUCCAGAGUCAUUUUGUUCUAUAAACAUUCUAUGUAUUCAGUCUCUAUUAGGUACUGGCAGUACUUCUGUGUACGUAAGUUUUAGACGUCCUGAUUAUCUUGACAAACUCAGUGUGUCCUGAACUUAACUCUUUGCCUUCCACCUCAUAUCCAUUUCUCUUUCUGCCUCCCUGUGUGCUGAUGAGUAUACCAAGAGCACAGCUCCGAAUCAUCAAGUCCCUUACUUUGUGCCCUUGUUUUCUGAACAACCAAAAUUCCUUAAUCCCUUUCAGACAUGUCCAAAGUGUGGUCCCAGUGCAUCACUCCUGAUUUAUCUCCUGAUACCCUCGCACACUGUCUGUCUCAGUCAGGAGAACCUCUCAUGAAUCCCCGUAUCAGUUC
This 821-nucleotide long non-coding RNA is filed under the name Bos taurus (domestic cattle). RNAcentral's name for it is "long non-coding RNA NONBTAT013625". The record is from RNAcentral. Lineage: Eukaryota; Metazoa; Chordata; Mammalia; Artiodactyla; Bovidae.